RNAcentral lists this ribosomal RNA (420 nucleotides) under bacterium. RNAcentral's name for it is "partial 16S ribosomal RNA". It matches the Rfam family "Bacterial small subunit ribosomal RNA", at positions 355 to 776 of the family's 1533-position model. The record is from RNAcentral.
UGGGGGAUAUUGCACAAUGGGCGAAAGCCUGAUGCAGCGACGCCGCGUGGGGGAUGAAGGCUUUCGGGUUGUAAACCUCUUUCGCUAUCGAACAAGGCCCGCUUAGGGUGGGUUGAGGGUAGGUGGAGAAGAAGCGCCGGCUAACUACGUGCCAGCAGCCGCGGUAAUACGUAGGGCGCGAGCGUUGUCCGGAAUUAUUGGGCGUAAAGGGCUUGUAGGCGGCUUGUUGCGCCUGCUGUGAAAACGCGGGGCUUAACUUCGCGCGUGCAGUGUGUACGGGGAGGCUUGAGUGUGGUAGGGGUGACUGGAAUUCCAGGUGUAGCGGUGGAAUGCGCAGAUAUCUGGAGGAACACCGAUGGCGAAGGCAGGUCACUGGGCCAUUACUGACGCUGAGGAGCGAAAGCAUGGGUAGCGAACAGG